GGGGGUAUGGCUCAGUGGUAGAGCACGUACUUAGCAUGCAAGAGGUCCUGGGGUCAGUCCCCAGUCCCUCCA
This 72-nucleotide transfer RNA is filed under the name Camelus bactrianus (Bactrian camel). It matches the Rfam family "tRNA". Rfam says of the family: Transfer RNA (tRNA) molecules are approximately 80 nucleotides in length. Their secondary structure includes four short double-helical elements and three loops (D, anti-codon, and T loops). The record is from Rfam by way of RNAcentral. RNAcentral also lists the same sequence under 2 other names. Lineage: Eukaryota; Metazoa; Chordata; Mammalia; Artiodactyla; Camelidae.